Long non-coding RNA from Etheostoma spectabile (orangethroat darter), 434 nucleotides. RefSeq lists it as uncharacterized. The transcript is spliced from 3 exons. The record is from RefSeq and is a predicted model, not a curated record. NCBI's taxonomy places the organism in Eukaryota, Metazoa, Chordata, Actinopteri, Perciformes, Percidae.
UCCUGAAACACUGACAGAAAUAAAGAUGCUAAUCCAGAUUUACUAAAACAGUUAUGAUCUCUGUAAAGUGAUUAAAGUGAUCUAAGAACAUAGUAAACGUGUUGAUGCUCGCAAAAAGAUGCCUGGCCAGGUUUUGUCAGAGUCCUUUCACUUUUGUUGUAGUAUUACGUUAAAUCUGUUUUUUUUUAGUUAUAUAUAUAUUAUAUAUAUAUAUAUUAUAUAUAUAAUCUGUUUUGUGUCGCCCACCCCCACCUCCCAGCUAACAUUAUGAGGUUAAAUCUGUUAUUUUUAUUUAAUUAAACAACUUUUCUUGCAGAGCUUGUUGAGAAUUGUCUGUCUCUGAGGUGUUACGUUGCGUGUCCUUGUACGCGACCACACUUGGGUGAAGAGUGCCUAAAUGACCAGCGUUGGAGGAUCACCAGGGGCCUGUUUAA